Molecule: non-coding RNA, 631 nt
Organism: Salvelinus sp. IW2-2015
Lineage: Eukaryota; Metazoa; Chordata; Actinopteri; Salmoniformes; Salmonidae
Source: RefSeq, a predicted model, not a curated record
AAGAAGAACCCUCCCCUGUUUCACCAGCCAGACACCCCAGCAGGUGGGGAGGAAGGGAGAAAGCCCUCCCCUGUUUCACCAGCCAGACACCCCCAGCAGGUGGGGGAGGAAGGAAGAAAAGCCCUUCCCCUUUUCACCAGCCAGAACACCCCCAGCAGGUGGGGGAGGAAGGGAGAAAGCCCUCCCCUGUUUCACCAGCCAGACACCCCCAGCAGGUGGGGGAGGAAGGAAGAAAGCCCUCUCCUGUUUCGCCCUCUUCCUCCUCCUCUUCCUUCUCAGUUGAACAAUAUGACCAGUCUUCCUCUUCUGAUCAAGACGUGCCCACCCUCCCCCCUAAAGUCUACGUGGUGGGGGCGGGCCCUAAAGAGCCUCGCGGCCCUGCUCCAAUCUCACGUCGACCUCCUGUCUUGCCCCCCAGAACCACACACACACAUAGCGAUGCUCCAGUCGAUGAGCCGCACACAGAGCGAACUCCACCCCCCCCGCCUCGGACCAGGGUACACAACACACCAGUCAACACGCAGCCUGCUCUGCCCAUGAGAAGAGUCCCCCAGCCACCGCCUGAAAUCAGGUCAGAUUUUGGUGACAGUUCAGAUGACUCUGAGGAUCCAGAACACAAGUUUACCAAACC